AUUUGAAAGCUGGCCCCCCCCGGGGGUCCGCGUUGUAAUUUGUAGAGGAUGAUUCGGCGAGGGCUCCCGCCUAAGUCCCCUGGAACGGGGCGUCAUAGAGGGUGAGAAUCCCGUAUGCGGUGGGCUGCCUUAGCCAUGUGAAUCUCCUUCGACGAGUCGAGUUGUUUGGGAAUGCAGCUCUAAAUGGGAGGUAAAUUUCUUCUAAAGCUAAAUACCGGCCAGAGACCGAUAGCGCACAAGUAGAGUGAUCGAAAGAUGAAAAGCACUUUGGAAAGAGAGUUAAAAAGUACGUGAAAUUGUUGAAAGGGAAGCGCUUGCAGCCAGACUUGCCCGCAGUUGCUCAGCCGGUCUCCUGACCGGCGCACUCUUCUGCGGCCAGGCCAGCAUCAGUUCGGGCGGUCGGAUAAAGGCCCCGGGAACGUAGCUCCUCUCGGGGAGUGUUAUAGCCCGGGGUGGAAUGCGGCCAGCCUGGACUGAGGAUCUCGCUUCGGCUAGGAUGCUGGCGUAAUGGCUGUAAGC
Molecule: ribosomal RNA, 519 nt
Filed under: Neoscytalidium dimidiatum
Lineage: Eukaryota; Fungi; Ascomycota; Dothideomycetes; Botryosphaeriales; Botryosphaeriaceae
Description: LSU rRNA
Rfam family: Eukaryotic large subunit ribosomal RNA
Source: RNAcentral